AUUGAACGCUGGCGGCAUGCCUUACACAUGCAAGUCGAACGGUAACGGGCCUUCGGGUGCCGACGAGUGGCGAACGGGUGAGUAAUGCAUCGGAACGUACCCAUCAGUGGGGGAUAACUCUCCGAAAGGGGGGCUAAUACCGCAUAUUCUGUGCGCAGGAAAGCGGGGGACCGCAAGGCCUCGCGCUGAUGGAGCGGCCGAUGUCAGAUUAGCUAGUUGGUGGGGUAAAGGCCUACCAAGGCGACGAUCUGUAGCGGGUCUGAGAGGAUGAUCCGCCACACUGGGACUGAGACACGGCCCAGACUCCUACGGGAGGCAGCAGUGGGGAAUUUUGGACAAUGGGGGCAACCCUGAUCCAGCCAUGCCGCGUGAGUGAAGAAGGCCUUCGGGUCGUAAAGCUCUUUCGGCCGGGAAGAAAUCGCAUCUCCUAAUACGGGGUGUGGAUGACGGUACCGGAAUAAGAAGCACCGGCUAACUACGUGCCAGCCGCCGCCGUAA
Molecule: ribosomal RNA, 498 nt
Filed under: uncultured bacterium
Lineage: Bacteria
Description: partial 16S ribosomal RNA
Rfam family: Bacterial small subunit ribosomal RNA
Source: RNAcentral